GGCAACGUGGCGGAGUGGUUAUCGCGCUAGCCUAGAACUCCAGAGUAUCCUAGCUAGUUCCCUCGGGAGCGUCAGUUCGAGUCUGGCCGUUGUCG
This 95-nucleotide transfer RNA is filed under the name Blumeria hordei DH14. RNAcentral's name for it is "tRNA-Ser for anticodon AGA". It matches the Rfam family "tRNA". From Rfam's summary of the family: Transfer RNA (tRNA) molecules are approximately 80 nucleotides in length. Their secondary structure includes four short double-helical elements and three loops (D, anti-codon, and T loops). The record is from Rfam by way of RNAcentral. Lineage: Eukaryota; Fungi; Ascomycota; Leotiomycetes; Helotiales; Erysiphaceae.